GGGUGUCAGGCAUUUGCUUAGGCAGGUAUUUGUUGUAGUCGGGCCGCUACAA
RNAcentral lists this non-coding RNA (52 nucleotides) under Acinetobacter sp. RNAcentral's name for it is "Li+-I sequence". It matches the Rfam family "nhaA-I RNA". From Rfam's summary of the family: Acidobacteria, Alphaproteobacteria, Betaproteobacteria and Gammaproteobacteria, Verrucomicrobia, cand. division NC10. Downstream gene Lineage: Bacteria; Pseudomonadati; Pseudomonadota; Gammaproteobacteria; Moraxellales; Moraxellaceae. The record is from RNAcentral.